GCCAGGUGCGGUGGCUCUUGCCUGUAAUCCCAGCACUUUGGGAGGCCGAGGCAGGCGGAUCACCUAAGGACAGGAGUUCGAGACCAGCCUGGCCAACAUGAUGAAACCUUGUCUCUACUAAAAAUACAAAAAUUAGCUGGGCAUGGUGGUGGGCACCUCUAAUCCCAGUUAAUCAGGAGGCUGAGGCAGGAGAAUAGCUUAAGCCCCUGAGGUGGAGGUUGCAGUGAGCCGAGAUCAUGCUGCUGCACUCCAGCCUGGGCAACAGAGUGAGAGUCUGUCUCA
This 282-nucleotide small RNA is filed under the name Pan troglodytes (chimpanzee). Lineage: Eukaryota; Metazoa; Chordata; Mammalia; Primates; Hominidae. The record is from RNAcentral.